GACGAAGGUGGCGAGCGUUGUUCGGAAUCACUGGGCAUAAAGCGCACGUAGGCGGCUAGGUAAGUCGGAUGUGAAAUACCUCGGCUCAACCGAGGAACUGCGUCCGAUACUGCCUGGCUUGAGGUCCGGAGGGGAGAGUGGAAUUCCCGGUGGAGCGGUGAAAUGCGUAGAGAUCGGGAAGAACGCCGGCGGCGAAAGCGACUCUCUGGUCGGAAUCUGACGCUGAGGUGCGAAAGCUAGGGGAGCAAACAGGG
Molecule: ribosomal RNA, 254 nt
Filed under: uncultured bacterium
Lineage: Bacteria
Description: partial 16S ribosomal RNA
Rfam family: Bacterial small subunit ribosomal RNA
Source: RNAcentral